CCUAGGUGGUGCUGCAGUGAGGAAUAUUGGUCAAUGGGCGCGAGCCUGAACCAGCCAAGUAGCGUGAAGGAUGACUGCCCUACGGGUUGUAAACUUCUUUUAAGGGGGAAGAGCAGAAGACGGUACCCCUUGAAUAAGCCACGGCUAACUACGUGCCAGCAGCCGCGGUAAUACGGAGGAUGCGAGCGUUAUCCGGAUUUAUUGGGUUUAAAGGGUGCGUAGGCGGAUCGUUAAGUCAGUGGUCAAAUUGAGGGGCUCAACCCCUUCCCGCCAUUGAAACUGGCGUUCUUGAGUGGAAGAGAAGUAUGCGGAAUGCGUGGUGUAGCGGUGAAAUGCAUAGAUAUCACGCAGAACCCCGAUUGCGAAGGCAGCAUGCCGGCUUCCGACUGACGCUGAAGCACGAAAGCGUGGGGAUCGAACAGGAUUAGAUACCCCGGUAGUC
This 442-nucleotide ribosomal RNA is filed under the name uncultured bacterium. RNAcentral describes it as "partial 16S ribosomal RNA". It matches the Rfam family "Bacterial small subunit ribosomal RNA", at positions 338 to 795 of the family's 1533-position model. The record is from RNAcentral.